GCCCUCGUGAUGUAGUGGUCAGCACGCUGGGCGCGUAUUCCAGAGGCCCGUGGUUCGAGUCCCGGCGAAGGCG
RNAcentral lists this transfer RNA (73 nucleotides) under Stegodyphus mimosarum. It matches the Rfam family "tRNA". Rfam says of the family: Transfer RNA (tRNA) molecules are approximately 80 nucleotides in length. Their secondary structure includes four short double-helical elements and three loops (D, anti-codon, and T loops). Lineage: Eukaryota; Metazoa; Arthropoda; Arachnida; Araneae; Eresidae. The record is from Rfam by way of RNAcentral.